Molecule: ribosomal RNA, 727 nt
Filed under: uncultured Peptococcaceae bacterium
Lineage: Bacteria; Bacillati; Bacillota; Clostridia; Eubacteriales; Peptococcaceae
Description: bacterial SSU rRNA
Rfam family: Bacterial small subunit ribosomal RNA
Source: RNAcentral
AACGGAAAGAGAUGAAAGAGCUUGCUCUUUUAUUAAUUUCAGUGGCAAACGGGUGAGUAACACGUAAACAACCUGCCUUAAGGAUGGGGAUAACAGACGGAAACGACUGCUAAUACCGAAUACGUUCUAAGCAUCGCAUGGUGCAUAGAAGAAAGGGUGGCCUCUACAAGAAAGCUAUCGCCUUAAGAGGGGUUUGCGACUGAUUAGGUAGUUGGUGAGGUAACGGCUCACCAAGCCGACGAUCAGUAGCCGGUCUGAGAGGAUGAACGGCCACACUGGAACUGAGACACGGUCCAGACUCCUACGGGAGGCAGCAGUGGGGAAUCUUCCGCAAUGGACGAAAGUCUGACGGAGCAACGCCGCGUGAACGAAGAAGGUCUUCGGAUUGUAAAGUUCUGUGAUUCGGGACGAAAGGGUUUGUGGUGAAUAAUCAUAGACAUUGACGGUACCGAAAAAGCAAGCCACGGCUAACUACGUGCCAGCAGCCGCGGUAAUACGUAGGUGGCAAGCGUUGUCCGGAAUUAUUGGGCGUAAAGCGCGCGCAGGCGGUUUCUUAAGUCCAUCUUAAAAGCGUGGGGCUCAACCCCAUGAGGGGAUGGAAACUGGGAAGCUGGAGUAUCGGAGAGGAAAGUGGAAUUCCUAGUGUAGCGGUGAAAUGCGUAGAGAUUAGGAAGAACACCGGUGGCGAAGGCGACUUUCUAGACGAAAACUGACGCUGAGGCGCGAA